UACGGAGGGGGCAAGCGUUGUUCGGAUUUACUGGGCGUAAAGGGCGCGUAGGCGGUCGUGACAAGUCACUUGUGAAAUCUCCGGGCUUAACUCGGAACGGUCAAGUGAUACUGUCGGACUAGAGUACAGAAGGGGCAACUGGAAUUCUCGGUGUAGCGGUGAAAUGCGUAGAUAUCGAGAGGAACACCUGCGGCGAAGGCGGGUUGCUGGGCUGACACUGACGCUGAGGCGCGAAAGCCAGGGGAGCGAACGGG
RNAcentral lists this ribosomal RNA (254 nucleotides) under uncultured bacterium. RNAcentral's name for it is "partial 16S ribosomal RNA". It matches the Rfam family "Bacterial small subunit ribosomal RNA", at positions 524 to 776 of the family's 1533-position model. The record is from RNAcentral.